AUUGAACGCUGGCGGAAGGCUUUACACAUGCAAGUCGAGCGGCAGCACGGGGGCAACCCUGGGGGCGAGCGGCGAACGGGUGAGUAAUACAUAGGAACAUGCCCGGUCGUGGGGGAUAACACUUCGAAAGAAGUGCUAAUACCGCAUACGUCCUGAGGGGGAAAGCGGGGGAUCGCAAGACCUCGCGCGAUUGGAGGGGCCGAGGUCGGAUUAGCUAGUUGGUGGGGUAAAGGCCUACCAAGGCAACGAUCUGUAGCUGGUCUGAGAGGAUGAUCAGCCACACUGGAACUGAGACACGGCCCAGACUCCUACGGGAGGCAGCAGUGGGGAAUUUUGGACAAUGGGGGCAAGCCUGAUCCAGCCAUGCCGCGUGAGUGAAGAAGGCCUUCGGAUUGUAAAGCUCUUUCAGCAGGGACGAAGCGGUGUGAUCUAACAUAGCGUGGUAAUGACGUUACCUAAAGAAGAAGCACCGGCUAACUACGUG
This 484-nucleotide ribosomal RNA is filed under the name uncultured bacterium. RNAcentral's name for it is "partial 16S ribosomal RNA". It matches the Rfam family "Bacterial small subunit ribosomal RNA", at positions 29 to 507 of the family's 1533-position model. The record is from RNAcentral.